AGAGUUUGAUUAUGGCUCAGAUUGAACGCUGGCGGCAGGCCUAACACAUGCAAGUCGAGCGGCUGCACAAGGGAGUUUACUUCUGAUGUGGCAAGCGGCGGACGGGUGACUAAUGCCUAUGGAUCUGCCCAGUCGUAGGGGGAUGACAAUUGGACCCGACUGCUGAUACCGCCCACCCCCUACGGGGGAAAGGACGGGACCUUCCGGCCUUCCACAAUUGGAUGAACCUAGGUGGGAUUAUCUAGAUGGUGAGGCAAUGGCUCACCAAGGCGACGAUCCCUAGCUGUUCUGAGAGGAUGAUCAGCCACACUGGGACUGAGACACGGCCCCGACUCCUACCGGAGGCAGCGCUGGGAAACAUUGCGCAGUGGGCGAAACCCUGAUGCGCCCAUGCCGCGAGUGUGAGAAACGCCUUCGGGUUGUGAAUCACUUUCGCCAUGGAGGAAAGGGUGUAUCUUAAUACGCUAUAUCUGUGACGUUACCUACAGAAUAAGGACCGGCUAACUCCGCGCCAGCAGCCGCGGGAAUACUGAGGGCCCGAGCGUUAAUCAGAAUUACUGGACGUAGCGCGUGCGCAAGCUGUUUGUUAAGCGAGAUGCGAAAACCCUGCGCUCAACCUACGAAUAGCAUUUCGAACUGGCGAACUAGAGUCUUGUAGAGGGGGGUAAACUUCCAGGUGUAGCAGUGAAAUGCAUAUACAUCUGGAGCGAUACCGGUGGCGAAUGCGGCCCCCUGGACAGAGACUGACGCUCAUGCACGAAAGCGUGGGGAGCAAACAGGAUUAGAUACCCUGGUAGUCCACGCCGUAAACGAUGUCUACUCGGAGUUUGGUGUCUUGAACACUGGGCUCUCAAGCUAACGCAUUAAGUAGACCGCCUGGGGAGUACGGCCGCAAGGUUAAAACUCAAAUGAAUUGACGGGGGCCCGCACAAGCGGUGGAGCAUGUGGUUUAAUUCGAUGCAACGCGAAGAACCUUACCUACUCUUGACAUCCACAGAACUUUCCAGAGAUGGUUUGGUGCCUUCGGGAACUGUGAGACAGGUGCUGCAUGGCUGUCGUCAGCUCGUGUUGUGAAAUGUUGGGUUAAGUCCCGCAACGAGCGCAACCCCUAUCCUUAUUUGCCAGCACGUAAUGGUGGGAACUCUAGGGAGACUGCCGGUGAUAAACCGGAGGAAGGUGGGGACGACGUCAAGUCAUCAUGGCCCUUACGAGUAGGGCUACACACGUGCUACAAUGGCGAGUACAGAGGGUUGCAAAGCCGCGAGGUGGAGCUAAUCUCACAAAGCUCGUCGUAGUCCGGAUUGGAGUCUGCAACUCGACUCCAUGAAGUCGGAAUCGCUAGUAAUCGUGGAUCAGAAUGCCACGGUGAAUACGUUCCCGGGCCUUGUACACACCGCCCGUCACACCAUGGGAGUGGGCUGCAAAAGAAGUGGGUAGCUUAACCUUCGGGGGGGCGCUCACCACUUUGUGGUUCAUGACUGGGGUGAAGUCGUAACAAGGUAACCG
Molecule: ribosomal RNA, 1506 nt
Filed under: uncultured Shewanella sp.
Lineage: Bacteria; Pseudomonadati; Pseudomonadota; Gammaproteobacteria; Alteromonadales; Shewanellaceae
Description: 16S ribosomal RNA
Rfam family: Bacterial small subunit ribosomal RNA
Source: RNAcentral